GAACCUUACCUGGUCUUGACAUAGUAAGAACUUUCCAGAGAUGGAUUGGUGCCUUCGGGAACUUACAUACAGGUGCUGCAUGGCUGUCGUCAGCUCGUGUCGUGAGAUGUUGGGUUAAGUCCCGCAACGAGCGCAACCCUUUUCCUUAUUUGCCAGCGGGUUAAGCCGGGAACUUUAAGGAUACUGCCAGUGACAAACUGGAGGAAGGCGGGGACGACGUCAAGUCAUCAUGGCCCUUACGACCAGGGCUACACACGUGCUACAAUGGUCGGUACAAAGGGUUGCUACCUAGCGAUAGGAUGCUAAUCUCAAAAAGCCGAUCGUAGUCCGGAUUGGAGUCUGCAACUCGACUCCAUGAAGUCGGAAUCACUAGUAAUCGCGGAUCAGAAUGCCGCGGUGAAUACGUUCCCGGGCCUUGUACACACCGCCCGUCACACCAUGGGAGUUUGUUGCACCAGAAGUAGGUAGUCUAACCGCAAGGAGGACGCUUACCACGGUGUGGCCGAUGACUGGGGUGAAGUCGUAACAAGGUAAGCGUAGAUGA
RNAcentral lists this ribosomal RNA (544 nucleotides) under uncultured bacterium. RNAcentral's name for it is "bacterial SSU rRNA". It matches the Rfam family "Bacterial small subunit ribosomal RNA", at positions 966 to 1509 of the family's 1533-position model. The record is from RNAcentral.